This 460-nucleotide ribosomal RNA is filed under the name uncultured bacterium. RNAcentral's name for it is "partial 16S ribosomal RNA". It matches the Rfam family "Bacterial small subunit ribosomal RNA", at positions 338 to 795 of the family's 1533-position model. The record is from RNAcentral.
CCUACGGGAGGCAGCAGUGAGGAAUAUUGGUCAAUGGGCGCGAGCCUGAACCAGCCAAGUAGCGUGAAGGAUGACUGCCCUACGGGUUGUAAACUUCUUUUAUAAAGGAAUAAAGUGAGGCACGUGUGCCUUUUUGUAUGUACUUUAUGAAUAAGGAUCGGCUAACUCCGUGCCAGCAGCCGCGGUACUACGGAGGAUCCGAGCGUUCUCCGGAUUUAUUGGGUGUAAAGGGAGCGUAGAUGGGUUGUUAAGUCAGUUGUGAAAGUUUGCGGCUCAACCGGAAAAUUGCAAUUGAUACUGGCAGCCUUGAGUACAGUUGAGGUAGGCGGAAUUCGUGGUGUAGCGGUGAAAUGCUUAGAGAUCACGAAGAACUCCGAUUGCGAAGGCAGCUUACUAAACUGCCACUGACGUUGAUGCGCGAAAGUGUGGGUAGCAAACAGGAUUAGAUACCCGGGUAGUC